GUAUAUAUAGUUUAUAAAAACAUUAGAUUGUGAAUCUAAAGAUAGAGUGUUAACCUCUUAUUUACC
Molecule: transfer RNA, 66 nt
Filed under: Paraechinus micropus (Indian hedgehog)
Lineage: Eukaryota; Metazoa; Chordata; Mammalia; Eulipotyphla; Erinaceidae
Also listed under: 1 other name
Description: tRNA-His
Rfam family: tRNA
About the family: Transfer RNA (tRNA) molecules are approximately 80 nucleotides in length. Their secondary structure includes four short double-helical elements and three loops (D, anti-codon, and T loops).
Source: RNAcentral